This 255-nucleotide ribosomal RNA is filed under the name uncultured bacterium. RNAcentral describes it as "partial 16S ribosomal RNA". It matches the Rfam family "Bacterial small subunit ribosomal RNA", at positions 524 to 776 of the family's 1533-position model. The record is from RNAcentral.
UACGUAGGGGGCGAGCGUUGUCCGGAGUUACUGGGCGUAAAGGGCACGCAGGCGGUGCGGCGCGUUUCGCGUGACAGCGGAGGGCUUAACUCUCCGAGGAUGCGAAAGACGGCGGCACUUGAGGGCCAGAGAGGGACACGGAAUUCCUGGUCGUAGCGGUGAAAUGCGCAGAGUAUCAGGAGGAACACCUAUUGCGAAGGCAGCUCGCUGGGACGUAACUGACGCUGAGACGCGAAAGCGUGGGGAGCAAACAGG